UACAGAGGUUUCAAGCGUUGUUCGGAUUCAUUGGGCGUAAAGGGCGCGUAGGCGGCGCGGUAAGUCGGGUGUGAAAUCUUGGAGCUUAACUCCGAAACUGCAUUCGAUACUGCCGUGCUUGAGGACUGGAGAGGAGACUGGAAUUUACGGUGUAGCGGUGAAAUGCGUAGAUAUCGUAAGGAAGACCAGUGGCGAAGGCGGGUCUCUGGACAGUACCUGACGCUGAGGCACGAAGGCCAGGGGAGCAAACGGG
RNAcentral lists this ribosomal RNA (253 nucleotides) under uncultured bacterium. RNAcentral's name for it is "partial 16S ribosomal RNA". It matches the Rfam family "Bacterial small subunit ribosomal RNA", at positions 524 to 776 of the family's 1533-position model. The record is from RNAcentral.